UUUAUUAGUCAUUUUUUAGCCAAAUGCACAGGUCCAAAUUCAUUUGUUAAUAAAAAAAAAACGAUAUUUCCCGUUUUUCUUCAAGAAUUUAAGCAUUAGCCUAAUGCUUAGGCUACAUAAACACUAUCGAGGAGUGUAAUAAGAAGGCCUUUAAGACGCAUCCAGUGCAGCUGAAGAGGAGCUGUCCAGGAGCGGUGGUGGUGUCUCUCUAGACAUAUGGAUGGGGUUAACGGCUUCCCAUCUGGCCUGAGCUGGGCCAACGGGUUCGCGGACCAGACGGUGGAUUGUGUGCCCAGCAAACGCAAGAGGAGCUGCGUGCAGGGGGAUGGAGCGCAUGGCAGUAGUACACAUGGAGAUGGUGCACAGCAAGACCACAAAGCCUAUCCCGUUCAUCCGGCUCCAAACAAACACAGGAGUUCCUUCAUACCCAUCGAUGGCGAUAAAGGGGUGUACUACUCAGAGCGCUGGGAGCCCAAUGGGAGCACGCUUUACUUCCCGGUCACAGGGCGACGUCUGGUGAACAUGGACAAAUAUGACCAGAUCACCUUCGAGCAGGGAUGCUUCUUCAUCGGGGACGAGUCGGGCGGUUUCCGACAGAAGACAGAAGGUCAGACUAUACACUGUUGGCGAUACAAUGAACAAGAAAAGAAACUUUUCAUUGCACUUUCUUACUUCUUUUCCAGCUUUCAUGUGUUCCAAGAGGUUGUCGGAUCUCUAGGGGGGUUGUGAGGAGGCAGAGCAGCACUCGGUGACCCGAAACAGACUGCUGUGUCGACAUGGUUCACUAGUCCUGUCCACUGCUGGAAAAGGGCAGACCAAAUGAAUCCUCAACAUAUCACUGUGCCUGAAUUUGUACAGUUGGCUUGUUUUGUGGCAUUUUAUCAGCUGCCCAAAUACUUUUAAUCAUUGAAGAUCAUAGAGAAUAUUGGUGGUCUUCGUAGCUCGGGUUGUUCACCGAGCUUGGCAUUUAGGUUGCAAACGUUUCAUCACCAGUCGAGGUGACAUCAUCAGCAAGUUGUGACUUGUACACUGAUGAUGUCACCUCGACUGGUGAUGAAACGUUCGCAACCUAAAUGUGAAGCUCGGCAAACAACCGAACACCUCAACUUUUAAUCAUUUUGUAUAUGUGAAUUGUCUAUAUAGUUUUUUUUUCCAAUCUGUAUUUUGUUUUUAGAACACCAUCCCUCUGCAGGGGUUACAAAAGAAUGGAAAGGAUCAACCACAUGUGUGCAAGAAACAUUCUAUGGUCUUUACAAAACUCGAAGAUCAAUCACCCAGAUAUUACUACUGGGUUCAUAUUCUUAAAGUGGAACCUGAAGAAAAUGCACUUCACUUGACAUUCCUACUUUACAGUGUUCAAUAGUAGGUAUAUUCUUUUUCCCAAAAGUGGGAGGUUGGCUGUUACUAUUUUCUGUUUGUAGGUGUCCUGACAUACAGUUAAAUGAGGACACACAGCUUAUAAUAAUCUCUAACUGUAAGCGUGUCACAUGAAGACACAUUUUUGGUCACCGGGGUGAUGAGGGAAUUCUUUAUGUUGUAUGGUAUGAGGAAAUGUUGGAUUGUAGCUCUGUAGAACAAUGGAGGAAAAAUGUUUUUUGAAGAAGAGCUUUGAAAACGGCACCUUAACUAUUUGAGAGAACUGUAAGCAGACGACCAAUGGUACUGCUCUUUUACCGAGGAAUUUAGUGUUAUAUUUACUGCUUUUUUCAAAUACAAUUAGGUAUUCGAAUUUUUGUCAGUUUUGAUAAAGCUUUGGUUUUUGUACAGUUUUUUUGAACAAUAAAGACUUUAAGCUCUAUUAAUGCA
Molecule: long non-coding RNA, 1806 nt
Organism: Scleropages formosus (Asian bonytongue)
Lineage: Eukaryota; Metazoa; Chordata; Actinopteri; Osteoglossiformes; Osteoglossidae
Source: Ensembl